Long non-coding RNA from Erpetoichthys calabaricus (reedfish), 303 nucleotides. RefSeq lists it as uncharacterized. The record is from RefSeq and is a predicted model, not a curated record. NCBI's taxonomy places the organism in Eukaryota, Metazoa, Chordata, Cladistia, Polypteriformes, Polypteridae. The transcript has 3 exons.
UCUUAUAACUUUAUAACACAUUGAAAAAUUAGUUCACACUUUUGUUUUCAGUCAAAUAGAUUACCAUAAUAUAUUCUUUACAGGACUACCAAAGAAAGCCAUCAAUCAGUUACAGUUACAAGAAUCUUAACCAGAAAAAGAAAGUCUGAGCACAUUUAAUCAGUUUUAGCGUCGUUACAUUGGUUACUCGUGUCAUUUAGAAUUGACUUUAAAAUACUACAACAGAUAUGGUCCUCAAGUCCAAAAUUAGCACUUAAGGAUAAUUUGCAUGUCUGCCGAAUGGUGGCAGCAGGGUUGGGAAGA